RNAcentral lists this ribosomal RNA (406 nucleotides) under uncultured bacterium. RNAcentral's name for it is "partial 16S ribosomal RNA". It matches the Rfam family "Bacterial small subunit ribosomal RNA", at positions 30 to 526 of the family's 1533-position model. The record is from RNAcentral.
AUUGAACGCUGGCGGCAGGCCUAACACAUGCAAGUCGAACGAGUGGCGGACGGGUGAGUAAUGUCUGGGCAACUGCCUGAUGGAGGGGGAUAACUACUGGAAACGGUAGCUAAUACCGCAUACCAUCAGAUGUGCCCAUAUGGGAUUAGCUAGUCGGUGGGGUAAAGGCUCACCUAGGCGACGAUCCCUAGCUGGUCUGAGAGGAUGAUCAGCCACACUGGGACUGAGACACGGCCCAGACUCCUACGGGAGGCAGCAGUGGGGAAUAUUGCACAAUGGGCGCAAGCCUGAUGCAGCCAUGCCGCGUGUAUGAAGAAGGCCUUCGGGUUGUAAAGUACUUUCAGCGGGGAGGCGUUACCGGCAGAAGAAGCACCGGCUAACUCCGUGCCAGCAGCCGCGGUAAUUC